AAAUAAAAAAUAUAAAUAAUCAAAACAAAAAUUUGGCCAUGCGGGUUGGCGAAUACCUACACUUGUGUCCGGUAGAUUUUUUUUUUCUCAAUAUCAUACCCACCCCCAACCUACAAGGGGUGUAAGUUAAAAAUACUAAAUUUACUGACAAUUCACAAAAUUACUCGCAGUGGGUGAGAUUUUACAGGCGGAUUUGAUCGAAGAAAUAAAUGCCGAUUGUUGCAAAAUAGAUGGACCUCUGCUUUUAAGUAUAAACUACGUCUUUAAAUUACAAAGAGCAUCUCUUAAAUUUGAUCGAAGAAACAAUGGCUUUGAGUAUCGUCAAAGAAAGUGUUAUCCGAUCUUAGAAAACCUUCAUAAGACAAAUUCAAGAAGAUCAUAAAUAUUACAUUCUUGUCAUAUAUCAAUGUCACCGUAGCACUAUAUAUCACGUGAAGGAUGUCAUUUGUCGCAUAAACCAUCAAACAAAGGACUAGCAACAGGUGCAACAUGAUCGGCCCUUUUAUCAUCUAAAAUUAUUGUCGUUUUUUAAUUCGAGAAGAAAUAUUGUCAUAUGGGUAGACAAGAAAAUGACUUAUUUUGUACCCAUAUGAAAUUAAAUGUGGGACAAAAAGUGCUUUUAUAUAUAAAAAGGAAUUAAAUGUAGCAUUAAAUCUGGAAGGAGAAAGAGAGAAGCAGUUGCAAAUGGGCACUGUGUCAGAAUUCAGAAAGUACUUUUUUUUUUUUUGGGAUGGGGUUGCUUGUUGUUAAUGAGAUUUUAUUUACCUGAUUUGAAAAUUAAAAUAGUAUGGAGCAGUUCAAAGAAAUUUCACUGCCGUUGUGCCAGAUUACUUGCUUGCAUGCAAAUAAAAAGAUCAACAAGAAAACAACAGAAGUUAAUGAUUAAAUGAACAAGUAAUUCAAAAAAGUUUGAAAAAUUUCAGCUUUCCUACUCAU
This 936-nucleotide long non-coding RNA is filed under the name Citrus x clementina. RNAcentral describes it as "Citrus clementina (C. clementina) long non-coding RNA (CCLE_LNC002114)". Lineage: Eukaryota; Viridiplantae; Streptophyta; Magnoliopsida; Sapindales; Rutaceae. The record is from RNAcentral.